RNAcentral lists this ribosomal RNA (483 nucleotides) under Cladosporium cladosporioides. RNAcentral describes it as "eukaryotic LSU rRNA". The stretch from base 139 to 292 matches the Rfam family "5.8S ribosomal RNA". The record is from RNAcentral. Lineage: Eukaryota; Fungi; Ascomycota; Dothideomycetes; Cladosporiales; Cladosporiaceae.
CCACCGGGAUGUUCAUAACCCUUUGUUGUCCGACUCUGUUGCCUCCGGGGCGACCCUGCCUUCGGGCGGGGGCUCCGGGUGGACACUUCAAACUCUUGCGUAACUUUGCAGUCUGAGUAAACUUAAUUAAUAAAUUAAAACUUUUAACAACGGAUCUCUUGGUUCUGGCAUCGAUGAAGAACGCAGCGAAAUGCGAUAAGUAAUGUGAAUUGCAGAAUUCAGUGAAUCAUCGAAUCUUUGAACGCACAUUGCGCCCCCUGGUAUUCCGGGGGGCAUGCCUGUUCGAGCGUCAUUUCACCACUCAAGCCUCGCUUGGUAUUGGGCAACGCGGUCCGCCGCGUGCCUCAAAUCGACCGGCUGGGUCUUCUGUCCCCUAAGCGUUGUGGAAACUAUUCGCUAAAGGGUGUUCGGGAGGCUACGCCGUAAAACAACCCCAUUUCUAAGGUUGACCUCGGAUCAGGUAGGGAUACCCGCUGAACUUAA